This 464-nucleotide ribosomal RNA is filed under the name uncultured bacterium. RNAcentral's name for it is "partial 16S ribosomal RNA". It matches the Rfam family "Bacterial small subunit ribosomal RNA", at positions 28 to 506 of the family's 1533-position model. The record is from RNAcentral.
GACGAACGCUGGCGGCGUGCUUAACACAUGCAAGUCGAACGGAAAGGCCCUGCUUGCAGGGUACUCGAGUGGCGAACGGGUGAGUAACACGUGGGUGAUCUGCCCUGCACUUCGGGAUGAGCCUGGGAAACUGGGUCUAAUACCGGAUAGGAGCCAUUUUUAGUGUGAUGGUUGGAAAGUUUUUUCGGUGUAGGAUGAGCUCGCGGCCUAUCAGCUUGUUGGUGGGGUAAUGGCCUACCAAGGCGGCGACGGGUAGCCGGCCUGAGAGGGUGGACGGCCACAUUGGGACUGAGAUACGGCCCAGACUCCUACGGGAGGCAGCAGUGGGGAAUAUUGCACAAUGGGCGCAAGCCUGAUGCAGCGACGCCGCGUGGGGGAUGACGGCCUUCGGGUUGUAAACUCCUUUCGCUAGGGACGAAGCUUUUUGUGACGGUACCUAGAUAAGAAGCACCGGCUAACUACGU